Long non-coding RNA from Hordeum vulgare subsp. vulgare (domesticated barley), 1290 nucleotides. RefSeq lists it as uncharacterized. Lineage: Eukaryota; Viridiplantae; Streptophyta; Magnoliopsida; Poales; Poaceae. The record is from RefSeq and is a predicted model, not a curated record. The transcript is spliced from 2 exons.
CAGAGUCGCUCCCCUCCCGUCACCAAGCUCUGCCACUCCGCCGCAUCUCGCCUGCGCAGCGGAUGCUCCCCUUCUCAUCCUCCCUCGUCGCCGUCCGUGUGCGUCCUCCGGGCGAAGCCCCCGCGCAGAUCCGACAGCGGCGGGACCUCUGGUGCGUUGGAGCGGCUCGGAUGCGAGCGAGGGCGCUCGGGUUCCUCCUGCCCACGUGCUGGGAGAUCGAGGUCAUCUGCGCCGCGGCCAUGCUCAUCGUCGCGCUCUACGCCGCCUGCGAGCUCCUCGUCCCGCGGUCCUCGCUAGCGGGCGCCGACGACCUCGGCCUCGCCCGGGAACUCGACGGCGCCGACAAGGUAAGCAAGCUCCGGCGGUUUGCCUGGGGUCCGUCAGUGGGGAAAAUAUUUGGGCGGUUAAUUACGGCGCGACGACCAACAAUCACCCAUGCUAACGUUGCGAGCGUUUUCGGUUUGGCUUUUCCGGGAUUGAUGCUCGGUAUAAGGGAGGUUCCACCGGGCCGUCGGCGUACGUGGUGAAGGUGACCGGCUGAUCAGCCCCUUGUCUCUGAUUUUGUUGCGGCCCCUGAUUGUGAUUGGCUCUGUGAGCGAUCGUGUGAUUUGGGUACGUGCCUGUAACAUCUGGAGCUGCUAGCCGCGAAGAAUUUGAUUGCAGCCAACUUGAAUGGGACCUCGGACCCUUAUGCACUUAUCACCUGCGGCGAAGAGAAGCGUUUCAGGAAUUGGUGUCCAUAUAAAAUGGGGAGCAGUUCUCCCUUAGGAAAUUUUUAGGAUAUUGUUUGGCAGUAAGUUUUGAUGUUUUAUUGCCAAGGAGAACAAACAUGACUUCAAGCAGACUGAAUCCAUUAUUCUCAUAGAUUCUUCAUGCUUAAAUUGAUGGGCUAUCUUCCAUUUGCCAGAAUAUGAUUCUUUUCUUCAUGAUCCUCUGAGACAUGUCGCCUCACUGCCACCGUCAGUCGCCCCCAGGUCGCUGUCUCCACUCGCCAGCCACCAGACGCUCCCCUUAUAUGUGCUAAGGAUGCAAUGUCGACCACAUAUCAACUAACAGGUCUUCUGAUAGGAACCAAUUAUUUGUGCUAAUCUUCGAACUCUGUUACAAGAGAUUUCCUAAAACUAAGGUCAGUUACAUGGCGAAGAAAUCUUCAAGCACAGGAAACAUUGUAUCCCUAUCCUCUGAAGCAACAGCAUGCGCAUGUCGCUCACGACUUACAAUGAAAUACCAUCCAGUCAUGCUACUUGGGUAUAAAUAUAGAAUUCUUACGAAGUCUGUUUUUCCCGGGAA